CGGGGUGUGGCGCAGCCUGGUAGCGCAUCUGCUUUGGGAGCAGAGGGUCGUGAGUUCGAAUCCCACCGCCCCGACCA
RNAcentral lists this transfer RNA (77 nucleotides) under Candidatus Kinetoplastidibacterium blastocrithidiae TCC012E. RNAcentral's name for it is "tRNA-Pro (TGG) (tRNA-Pro-TGG-1-1)". It matches the Rfam family "tRNA". Rfam says of the family: Transfer RNA (tRNA) molecules are approximately 80 nucleotides in length. Their secondary structure includes four short double-helical elements and three loops (D, anti-codon, and T loops). The record is from RNAcentral. RNAcentral also lists the same sequence under 1 other name. Lineage: Bacteria; Pseudomonadati; Pseudomonadota; Betaproteobacteria.